GAAACUGAGGCUCGCCCUGAGUGUCCAGUUGGUGGUGGUGGAGCACGUCGGAGCAUGGAACCUGUGCUCUUAGUCAUGGCGCGGACCAUCAGGGAUGAGGAGGGUGGAGGAACGUGGCAGACGCAGACGAAACAGAAUAGGGCACGGAACGGCCACCACCUCGGCAGAGGACCAUCUUUUGGGGCAAAGAGAGAGGAAGACUGGCAACAGAUGUUAGCUCAGGGUGAAUCUUUCCCGCAGAAAAAAAAAAACUACACAAAAAUGACAGCUACUAUCAUACCUAAUGGUGAGAAACUUGAAGCUUUCCUACUAAGACCAGGUACAAGGCAAAGAUGUCCCCUCACACCACUCCUUUUCAACACCGUACUAGAAGUUCUAGCCAAUAUAGUAGGUCAAGUAGAAAAUAUCUGCCAAAAGACCCAUCUAAUAAAGGACUGUUAUCCAUAAUAUGCAAAGAUGCUUAAAAGUCAACAAUAAGAAAACAAGCAGGGGCCAGCCCAGUGGCCAAGUGGUUAAGUUCACAUGCUCUGCAUCGGUAGCCCAGGGUUUGCUGGUUCAGAUCCUGGGUGUGGACCUACACACCGCUUGUCAAGCCAUGCUGUGGCGGCGUCCCACAUGGAAGAACUAGAAUGACUUACAACUAGGAUAUACAAUUAUGUACUGGGGCUUUGGGGAGAAAAAAAAAGGAAGAUUGGCAACAGAUGUUAGCUCAGGGCCAAUCUUCCUCACCAAAAAGCAUACUUUUAAAAAAAAAAGAAAGAAAGAAAACAAGCAACCUGAUUUUAAAAAUGGGCCAAAGACCUUAACAGACACCUCACCAAAGAAGAUACAGAGAUGGCAAAUAAGCAUAGGAAAAGAUGCUCCACAUCAUUUGUCAUCAGGAAAAUGCAAAUUAAAAUGAGAUACUACCACACACCUAUUAGAAUGGCCAAAAUGUGGACCACUGACAACACUAAAUGCUGGCAAGGAUGUGGAGCAACCAGAACGCUCACACACUGCUGGUGGGACUGCAACAUGGCACAGCCACUUUGGAAGAACUCCAGUGGUUUCUUACAAAACUAAACAUGCUCUCACCAUAUGAUCCAGCAAUCACACUCCUUGUAUUUACCUAAAGGAGCUGAAAACUUAUGUCCACACAAAAAUCUGCACACAGAUCUUUUUAGCAGCAUUAUUCAUAAUUGCCAAAACUAGGAAUCAACCAAGAUGUCCUUCAGUAGGAGAAUGGAUAAACAAAGUGUGGUCCAUCCAGACAAUGGAAUGUUAUUCAGCACUAAAAAGAAAUGAGCUAUCAAGCCAUGAAAAGACAUGGAGGAAACUUAAAUGCAUAUUACCCUGUCAAAGAAGCCUAUCUGAAAAGGCUGCAUACUGUAUGAUUCCAGGUAUAUGACACUCUGGAAAAGGAAAAUAAGGAGAAUGAAAAAGAUCAGUGAUUGUUAGGGGUUGGAGGGAAGAACAAAUAGGCAGAGCACAGAGGAUUUUUAGGGCAGUGAAAAUACGCUGUAUGAUACCAUAAUGAUGGAUGCAUGUCAUUGUCCAUUUGUCCAAAUGCACAGAAUAUACAUCAAGAGUGAACCAUAAUGUGCACCAUGGACUUUGGGUGAUUAUGAUGUGUCGAUGUAGGUUUAUCAAUUUAAAGAAUGUCCCACUCUAGUGGGGAUGGUGGUGACAAAUGAGGCUACGCAUGUGUGGGGGCAGGAGGUAUAUGGGAAAUCUCUGUACCUUCCUCUCAAUUUUGCUGUGAACCUAAAACUGCUCUAAAAAAAUUAAGUUAAAAUAUCACGUUUAUAUCCUUUGAGGUAAUUGUUUUUACAUUUUAGAACUUGC
RNAcentral lists this long non-coding RNA (1824 nucleotides) under Equus asinus (donkey). RNAcentral's name for it is "lncRNA (ENSEASG00005026998.1)". The record is from RNAcentral. Lineage: Eukaryota; Metazoa; Chordata; Mammalia; Perissodactyla; Equidae.